RNAcentral lists this long non-coding RNA (1449 nucleotides) under Parus major (Great Tit). RNAcentral's name for it is "lncRNA (ENSPMJG00000016758.1)". Lineage: Eukaryota; Metazoa; Chordata; Aves; Passeriformes; Paridae. The record is from RNAcentral.
AGCAGAUACAUUUGCCUUUACAAGAAGUGAAGGCAGUGAGUAAAUUGAAACAUGGCUCCACAUGGAUAAGCACAGCCUAAUGCCAGCACAAAAGGCAGUGAAGCACAUCCUCUUCUGUGCUGUAUGCAUAGAGAGGGCACUCUCACCAACAUUUAUUUUCAUUUCUAGGUAGUUAGUGAAGGGUAGGGAAAAAAUCAACAGCAAUAAAUGAGUUGUUGCAACCUGCCCUUUCUGCUCCAGCAAUUUCCUGUUUUUGUAAACAGGAAACGCUGCACAACCUGGCGAGGACUCAAUGUGAUAACGCUGAAGAGUGAUCAGACAGUCAACUAUGAAACCGCGGCGGCGUCUGCUGAGGAAAACCCACAAGCUGUCAAGAAAGCUGCGGGAUGUUUUGCGACACAAUCUAUCAACUAUCCAAGCCUAUGCUGAAUAAAUAGCAGUGAACAGACCUGCAGAAGGAGCGUGUUUCCACUGGCAUUCCUUGAUAUGAGUGUUUCGUUGUUCAAAGCUUCUGAUGCUGUUCUCACUGUUCUUCUCCAAAGCUGGAUUACCUGACAAUGAUUUCUACUGCCAUGCUUUGGGUACGCCAUUACUCCUGGAAAGAAAUUCCAGGUUAUGAGGUAUAAAAUAGAAAUCCUAAUGUUGCCUGUGAUGCUGCAAAAUUCCUCUGCUUUCCUCAGAAUUUAAGACUUUUAGGAUCCAAGAUGGAUGGUGCGAAGUUUCCUUUCACCUUCACCUCCUUGUUAACUUGUGCAUGGAAACAACCUUGCUUCCAGUUCCUCUGUGAAAUUAAACAUUAAUCAACACUCCUCAGUUAACAAUUUGAAAAUUGUUUCUUAACCUUCAGUAAGGUCCAAGCUUGGGUUUAAAGCAUAAGGAAAGGGAAAGCAAAACUCAGCUCAGUUUCUGCCCAAGAUUUGUCCUCUGAUGCAGCCCUGUUUCCAAAUCUCUGAAACCCGGAUAAGUAUUAGAUCAAGAUCAAAGAAAAGGAAAACAUGAAACUGAGCUUUUCCUGGCUCUUUCCAAUGCAGAAACAUCAACAUUUCAGUGAGAUGGCAAGGCUUGAAGCACAUCUAAGACUCACUGAUCUCCUAAGGCUUGGUAAACUUCAACUCACUGAUGUUGAUAUGCUGCUCUAUGAGCUGUGAAGAGAUGUACAGUUCCUUUUCAAACCACAAACUGAUCAUAAACAAAAGUUUCACUCUUAAAAAAGGCAACUUAAGGAUACUGCCUACUGUCUCAAAUGCUGUGCAGUAGUUUCUCAAACUGCAAGUCAAGCCUUGAGAGGCUGGAAGAGGAAGGCAAAGCAGAGAAAAGGAUUAAGAGUUAUAACACAGUGGCUUAUCUAAAUUUUUAAGCAUUUAAUUAUUAGCAUGUUAAUAAUUAAAAAAAAAAAUUAGUAGAAAAAACCCAAGAAAAAUAAACAGUAAUAAUUCUGACCUUCUUUCA